GAAGUUCGCCAGGCAGUCGCCGCGCAUAUCGUUGCGCGGAGGAAAGUCCGGGCCCCGCAGAGCAGGAUGCCGGCUAACGGCCGGGCGCCGCAAGGCGACGGAAAGUGCAACAGAAAACAAACCGCCGAUGGCCCGCACAACGCGGGAUCAGGCAAGGGUGAAAUGGCGGGGUAAAAGCCCACCGCGGGACCGGCGACGGGACCGGCACGGCAAACCCCAUCCGGGGCAAGGCCAAAUAGGGGGGCAUGGCGUGGCUCGCGCCGCCUCCGGGUAGGCCGCUGGAGCGCCGCGGCAACGCGGCGCCAAGAUGAAUGAUUGCCCGGUGUCCUUCGGGACAUUCGACAGAACCCGGCUUACCGGCGAACUUCCCGC
RNAcentral lists this RNase P RNA (372 nucleotides) under Azoarcus sp. Its description in RNAcentral is "RNase P RNA component class A". It matches the Rfam family "Bacterial RNase P class A". From Rfam's summary of the family: Ribonuclease P (RNase P) is a ubiquitous endoribonuclease, found in archaea, bacteria and eukarya as well as chloroplasts and mitochondria. The record is from RNAcentral. Lineage: Bacteria; Pseudomonadati; Pseudomonadota; Betaproteobacteria; Rhodocyclales; Zoogloeaceae.